GAUGAACGCUGGCGGCGUGCUUAACACAUGCAAGUCGAACGAUGAAGCCCAGCUUGCUGGGUGGAUUAGUGGCGAACGGGUGAGUAACACGUGAGCAACCUGCCCCUGACUCUGGGAUAAGCGCUGGAAACGGCGUCUAAUACUGGAUAUGUCCCGUCACCGCAUGGUGUGCGGGUGGAAAGAUUUUUCGGUUGGGGAUGGGCUCGCGGCCUAUCAGCUUGUUGGUGAGGUAAUGGCUCACCAAGGCGUCGACGGGUAGCCGGCCUGAGAGGGUGACCGGCCACACGGGGACUGAGACACGGCCCAGACUCCUACGGGAGGCAGCAGUGGGGAAUAUUGCACAAUGGGCGGAAGCCUGAUGCAGCAACGCCGCGUGAGGGAUGACGGCCUUCGGGUUGUAAACCUCUUUUAGCAGGGAAGAAGCGAAAGUGACGGUACCUGCAGAAAAAGCACCGGCUAACUACG
This 465-nucleotide ribosomal RNA is filed under the name uncultured bacterium. RNAcentral's name for it is "partial 16S ribosomal RNA". It matches the Rfam family "Bacterial small subunit ribosomal RNA", at positions 28 to 505 of the family's 1533-position model. The record is from RNAcentral.